UACGGAGGGUGCAAGCGUUAUCCGGAUUCACUGGGUUUAAAGGGUGCGUAGGUGGGCAGGUAAGUCAGUGGUGAAAUCUCUGGGCUUAACCCGGAACUGCCGUUGAUACUAUCUGUCUUGAAUAUAGUGGAGGUGAGCGGAAUAUGUCAUGUAGCGGUGAAAUGCUUAGAUAUGACAUAGAACAUCGAUUGCGAAGCAGCUCGCUACACUAUGAUUGACACUGAGGCACGAAAGCGUGGGGAUCAAACAGG
This 251-nucleotide ribosomal RNA is filed under the name uncultured bacterium. RNAcentral describes it as "partial 16S ribosomal RNA". It matches the Rfam family "Bacterial small subunit ribosomal RNA", at positions 524 to 776 of the family's 1533-position model. The record is from RNAcentral.